UACGUAGGGGGCUAGCGUUGUCCGGAAUCAUUGGGCGUAAAGAGCGUGUAGGCGGUCCGGUAAGUCCGCUGUGAAAGUCGGGGGCUCAACCCUCGAAUGCCGGUGGAUACUGUCGGGCUAGAGUGCGGAAGAGGCGAGUGGAAUCCUGGUGUAGCGGUGAAAUGCGCAGAUAUCGAGGAGGAACACCUAUUGCGAAGGCAGCUCGCUGGGACGUAACUGACGCUGAGACGCGAAAGCGUGGGGAGCAAACAGG
This 253-nucleotide ribosomal RNA is filed under the name uncultured bacterium. RNAcentral's name for it is "partial 16S ribosomal RNA". It matches the Rfam family "Bacterial small subunit ribosomal RNA", at positions 524 to 776 of the family's 1533-position model. The record is from RNAcentral.